AGUGUGUAUGUGUGUGUGUGUUCCAGGAUAGUGUGUGUAGGGUACUAUAAGAGUGUGUGUGUGUUCCAGGAUAGUGUGUGUAGGGUACUAUAAGAGUGUGUGUGUGUGUUCCAGGAUAGUGUGUGUAGGGUACUAUAAGAGUGUGUGUGUGUGUGUGUGUGUUCCAGGAUAGUGUGUGUAGGGUACUAUAAGAGUGUGUGUGUGUGUUCCAGGAUAGUGUGUGUAGGGUACUAUAAGAGUGUGUGUGUGUGUUCCAGGAUAGUGUGUGUAGGGUACUAUAAGAGUGUGUGUGUGUGUGUUCCAGGAUAGUGUGUGUAGGGUACUAUAAGAGUGUGUGUGUGUGUGUUCCAGGAUAGUGUGUGUAGGGUACUAUAAGAGUGUGUGUGUGUGUGUGUGUUCCAGGAUAGUGUGUGUAGGGUACUAUAAGAGUGUGUGUGUGUGUGUGUGUGUGUGUGUGUGUGUGUGUGGUACUAUAAGUGUGUGUGUGUGUGUGUUCCAGGAUAGUGUGUGUAGGGUACUAUAAGAGUGUGUGUGUGUGUGUGUGUUCCAGGAUAGUGUGUGUAGGGUACUAUAAGAUAGUGUGUGUAGGGUACUAUAAGAGUGUGUGUGUGUGUGUGUGUUCCAGGAUAGUGUGUGUAGGGUACUAUAAGAGUGUGUGUGUGUGUUCCAGGAUAGUGUGUGUGGGGUACUAUAAGAGUGUGUGUGUGUGUUCCAGGAUAGUGUGUGUAGGGUACUAUAAGUGUGUGUGUGUGUUCCAGGAUAGUGUGUGUAGGGUACUAUAAGAGUGGUACUAUAAGUGUGUGUGUGUGUUCCAGGAUAGUGUGUGUAGGGUACUAUAAGAGUGUGUGUGUGUUCCAGGAUAGUGUGUGUAGGGUACUAUAAGUGUGUGUGUGUGUUCCAGGAUAGUGUGUGUGGGGUACUAUAAGAGUGUGUGUGUGUGUUCCAGGAUAGUGUGUGUGGGGUACUAUAAGAGUGUGUGUGUGUGUUCCAGGAUAGUGUGUGUAGGGUACUAUAAGAGUGUGUGUGUGUGUUCCAGGAUAGUGUGUGUAGGGUACUAUAAGAGUGUGUGUGUGUUCCAGGAUAGUGUGUGUAGGGUACUAUAAGUGUGUGUGUGUGUGUUCCAGGAUAGUGUGUGUAGGGUACUAUAAGAGUG
Molecule: long non-coding RNA, 1153 nt
Filed under: Salmo salar (Atlantic salmon)
Lineage: Eukaryota; Metazoa; Chordata; Actinopteri; Salmoniformes; Salmonidae
Description: lncRNA (ENSSSAG00000119713.1)
Source: RNAcentral